RNAcentral lists this unclassified non-coding RNA (245 nucleotides) under Nigrograna mackinnonii. RNAcentral's name for it is "partial contains 5.8S ribosomal RNA, internal transcribed spacer 2, and large subunit ribosomal RNA". The record is from RNAcentral. Lineage: Eukaryota; Fungi; Ascomycota; Dothideomycetes; Pleosporales; Nigrogranaceae.
CGCACAUUGCGCCCUUCGGUAUUCCGUUGGGCAUGCCUGUUCGAGCGUCAUUUAAGCAUUCAAGCUCAGCUUGGUGUUGGGUGCUUGUCCUCCCCCGCGGUGGACUCACCUCAAAUGCAUUGGCGGCCGGUAUGUUGGCUUCGAGCGCAGUAGAAACGCGCCAGACGCCCUGACAUGCUAGUCCCCCACAAGACCACUCUUUAUAGCUUGACCUCGGAUCAGGUAGGGAUACCCGCUGAACUUAA